Aedes aegypti (yellow fever mosquito) is the source of this 47-nucleotide non-coding RNA. NCBI's taxonomy places the organism in Eukaryota, Metazoa, Arthropoda, Insecta, Diptera, Culicidae. The record is from Rfam.
CCAUCGGCCCUUGUCAGGGCCAUAAUAUUUGUGGAAAAGAGUUGAAG